Molecule: unclassified non-coding RNA, 659 nt
Filed under: Hevea brasiliensis (rubber tree)
Lineage: Eukaryota; Viridiplantae; Streptophyta; Magnoliopsida; Malpighiales; Euphorbiaceae
Source: RNAcentral
GCUCUCGUCGAGCAAGAAAAGUAAAUCUUUCUCUCUCGCUCUUUCUGAAAAAGCUAAUCAGGGAGAUCUAGAUCAUUUUCUUCACUUGUCUUUUAGCUGGGGAUCUAGAUUUUAUAUUGUUGAGUCUUUGAUGUCUGCGUGUGUGUUCUGGUUUGGAUCCGAUUUAAUCAGAUUUGCUUUUUUUUUGUUGGACUACACUUCUACUCUGUGUGAUCUCGCUGUUGGACGUAGUAUUAAGCAGUGAUUUUGUUGGAUUAGCCCGAGUACUAGUAGAUUCAGUAGUUGCUCUUUUAAUUUGUUAUUUGUGCCAGAUCAAACUUCUAUGAUUUUUUUUUUGGUUUUUGUCUUUGUGUUCUCAUUUCCUCACAUUUUACUUGUUUCUUGACUGUUUUGACAUGAUCAUGCUGUUGUUUUGUAUAAUCGGAUGCUGAAAAUAAUUUUCUAUUGCAUUUGAAUUCUUAUUUCACUUUAAUUGAUGACAUUUGAAAUCUUACCUGGACUUAUGGAGCGCUUCAAAUCACUGAUCCAAGCUCCCUUCCAACGAUUGUUAUCGUAUAAGGCUUUAAUGAAAUAUAGAAUUCUAGGACUUCCAGUUUUCAUAUUAUGAACUACAGUAUUGCUGCCAUUACCUUUAAUAUCCCCAUAUAUGUUUGUUGAUU